This 253-nucleotide ribosomal RNA is filed under the name uncultured bacterium. RNAcentral's name for it is "partial 16S ribosomal RNA". It matches the Rfam family "Bacterial small subunit ribosomal RNA", at positions 524 to 776 of the family's 1533-position model. The record is from RNAcentral.
UACGUAGGGGGCAAGCGUUAUCCGGAUUUACUGGGUGUAAAGGGAGCGUAGACGGCAGGGCAAGUCUGGAGUGAAAGGCAGGGGCCCAACCCCUGGACUGCUCUGGAAACUGUCCGGCUGGAGUGCAGGAGAGGUAAGUGGAAUUCCUAGUGUAGCGGUGAAAUGCGUAGAUAUUAGGAGGAACACCAGUGGCGAAGGCGGCUUACUGGACUGUAACUGACGUUGAGGCUCGAAAGUGUGGGGAGCAAACAGG